Molecule: unclassified non-coding RNA, 345 nt
Filed under: Hevea brasiliensis (rubber tree)
Lineage: Eukaryota; Viridiplantae; Streptophyta; Magnoliopsida; Malpighiales; Euphorbiaceae
Source: RNAcentral
AUCCUCAUAGGUGAUUAAAUUCACAGCCAACCCAAGGUGUCCAAACCUUCCAGAACGUCCAACCCUGUGUAGAUAUGUCUCUGAAUUCUUGGGGAAAUCGAAGUUAAUAACAACGUUUACUGCUUGAAUGUCUAUCCCUCUUGUAAAUAGAUCAGUACAAACAAGAUUUCUACAUGCACCAUUUCGGAAGUCAUGAAAUACUCUGUUACGAUGAUCUUGCAGCAUCUUUGCAUGAAUAUAGAAACAAGAAUAACCAAGUUCUGUUAUUUUCUUGGCUAACAACUCAACUCGAUUUACCGAAUUGCAGAAGAUAAUUGAUUGGUUAAUUUGCAGCUUAGAGAAAAG